RNAcentral lists this long non-coding RNA (1053 nucleotides) under Apteryx haastii (Great spotted kiwi). RNAcentral describes it as "lncRNA (ENSAHAG00000018796.1)". The record is from RNAcentral. Lineage: Eukaryota; Metazoa; Chordata; Aves; Apterygiformes; Apterygidae.
AUGGGACGCGGCAGCCCCGCCGCCGGCCCCGCGAGUCCCUGCGGGCAGGGCCGAGCUCCGACGGCUUUCGGGGAAGCUUUCGCCCUCCGCCGCGUCGCAGCUUUCCCACGCCCCGGCGCCGGGGCGAAAGGCGGCACGGCCGAGGCGGCGGGACGCAGCGGCGCGGGCGGAGGGGACCUUGCACGCACAGCCCCAGCUCGGCUCGCAGGGUGCCGGGGCGCCGGCACUGCCGGGUGCCCUCGCGGCUCCGGGACGCGGCCCCGCGCCGCACGCGGAGGCAGCUGCCUGCAACCUCCCCGUGGCGUCUGGGCGGCUGCCGGCCGGCGUGGAAGCAGACCCCCGCGGCGGGCAUCUGCUUCGUCACUCCCCACCGUUUGCCAUGACAGAGCACAUCGUGCAAAACAUCGGUUUCCACAGAAAUGUUCCAGUGGAAACGCUGGAGGCGUCAGCGGCUGCUUUCCGGCAACCUAUAGAACUUUAACCUCGCGGUGGCAGCGGGGACGAGCGUGCUGUGCGUUGCAGCGGGACGGUUUAAGGGAACGCGUCGGUGGAGAUGACGAACCCCCGGGCGGUGUCAGCAGCCAGCGGCCUGUCGUCACAGCAGACAGCAGACGGUUUAAGCCGACACGAGCUGCGUCUCCUCGCUGCCGGCACGCUGGGGUCCGCAGGCGGGCCAGGAUGCUCCGGCAGCACCGCUCCUCCGUCCCGCCUCCGAAGCUGCUGGGUCCCGCGCGGCUGGUGGAGGGGUCCGCCACGGCCGGGCUCAGCUCUUCGCGCGGCAGACGACGGGUCCUCCGGGCUGCCGGCCCCACGUCCUCCUCCCGCGGCAGCCUGGCUGCUUCCUCUCCGUGCCCAGACAGGUCGAGGCAGCACCUUUCCCGUCGCUCCCGUUCCAGGAACCGCCGUUUCUCCGGCGCUCCCGUGUGCCUCGGGUUAUCUCCACCAGAGACGCUGCCUACCAGUCUCCUGCUUUAUUGCAGCUUGCUCGCGCCUUCCCUUACUCGUGAAAGCGAACUUCACUAUUUUGCAAGCAUUUGCACCUGUCAGUUGUGA